This 231-nucleotide ribosomal RNA is filed under the name uncultured eukaryote. RNAcentral describes it as "partial 18S ribosomal RNA". It matches the Rfam family "Eukaryotic small subunit ribosomal RNA", at positions 1208 to 1456 of the family's 1831-position model. The record is from RNAcentral.
GGGAAACUCACCAGGUCCGGACAUAGUAAGGAUUGACAGAUUGACAGCUCUUUCUUGAUUCUAUGGGUGGUGGUGCAUGGCCGUUCUUAGUUGGUGGAGUGAUUUGUCUGGUUGAUUCCGUUAACGAACGAGAUCUCCGCCUACUAAAUAGUCACGCGAAUCCGUUUGGAUUUGCGGGCGACUUCUUAGAGGGACACUUGGCGUUUAGUCAAGGGAAGUUGGAGGCAAUAA